AUGGUAAAUUAGAUAUUCACUAUAUAUGAAAAUAUAUUUUUAACAUUUUGUAAUUUUUGCUUAUAUUGGAACUCUUCGUCUUUUGUUGCCUGCAGAAAUGCUUCUUUCAAAUAUUCCCAUAUUUCCUUUAUUGUGGAAUAUCCUACUACAAGAUACAUGCUUUCUUCAGUCAUAGUUCCUGAUAUCCAAGUUUGCAAUAAGACAUCAUUCUUUUCCCAAUCAUCCUUCUCACUUGGUUUAUCAACUUUCUUUAACGUAGAAGUUUCACUCUUCUCUACAUCAAAUGUUGUUGUUUUGUUAAGUUUGUCAUUCUUGACCAAUGUAGUCCCUUUUGUGACUUACAUAAGUUGCCUAACCUAUGUUCUCAUAAUUCGCGGGCUGAACUUUGAUAGGACAAACAACAAUGAGGUGGUGCAAAUAGACUACUAAAAGUGAUAGGAGAAUUGAGGGCGAAACAGUAUUUGGUGCCAUUGUUUUGGACAAAUGAUCUUACAAAAUAUUUGUAGUGUAAGGUUAAGAUUGCUCUAAUACCAUGUAAAAAUAUACAAUACAAGAAAUGAGGAAAUUGGAG
RNAcentral lists this long non-coding RNA (571 nucleotides) under Capsicum annuum. Its description in RNAcentral is "long non-coding RNA (CANN_LNC001671)". The record is from RNAcentral. Lineage: Eukaryota; Viridiplantae; Streptophyta; Magnoliopsida; Solanales; Solanaceae.